UAGUAUUCAAUUGUCAGAGGUGAAAUUCUUGGAUYUAUUGAAGACUAACUACUGCGAAAGCAUUUGCCUAGGAUGUUUUCAUUAAUCAAGAACGAAAGUUAGGGGAUCGAAGACAAUCAGAUACCGUCGUAGUCUUAACCAUAAACUAUGCCGACUAGGGAUCGGAUGAUGUUAAUUUUUUAAUGACUCA
This 190-nucleotide ribosomal RNA is filed under the name uncultured Glomeromycotina. RNAcentral describes it as "partial 18S ribosomal RNA". It matches the Rfam family "Eukaryotic small subunit ribosomal RNA", at positions 903 to 1089 of the family's 1831-position model. Lineage: Eukaryota; Fungi; Glomeromycota. The record is from RNAcentral.